AACGAACGCUGGCGGCAUGCCUAACACAUGCAAGUCGAACGAGACCUUCGGGUCUAGUGGCGCACGGGUGCGUAACGCGUGGGAACCUGCCCUUAGGUUCGGAAUAACUCCCCGAAAGGGGUGCUAAUACCGGAUAAUGUCUUCGGACCAAAGAUUUAUCGCCUUUGGAUGGGCCCGCGUUGGAUUAGCUAGUUGGUAGGGUAAAAGCCUACCAAGGCGACGAUCCAUAGCUGGUCUGAGAGGAUGAUCAGCCACACUGGGACUGAGACACGGCCCAGACUACUACGCGAGGCAGCAGUGGGGAAUAUUGGACAAUGGGCAAAAGCCUGAUCCAGCAAUGCCGCGUGAGUGAUGAAGGCCUUAGGGUUGUAAAGCUCUUUUACCCGGGAUGAUAAUGACAGUACCGGGAGAAUAAGCUCCGGCUAACUCCGUG
RNAcentral lists this ribosomal RNA (433 nucleotides) under uncultured bacterium. RNAcentral's name for it is "partial 16S ribosomal RNA". It matches the Rfam family "Bacterial small subunit ribosomal RNA", at positions 29 to 507 of the family's 1533-position model. The record is from RNAcentral.